RNAcentral lists this ribosomal RNA (373 nucleotides) under uncultured bacterium. RNAcentral describes it as "bacterial SSU rRNA". It matches the Rfam family "Bacterial small subunit ribosomal RNA", at positions 28 to 409 of the family's 1533-position model. The record is from RNAcentral.
GAUUAACGCUGGCGGCGUGCCUAACACAUGCAAGUCGAACGAGGUAGCAAUACCUAGUGGCAGACGGGUGAGUAACGCGUGGUCAACCUACCGUUGAGUGGGGGAUAACUAGCCGAAAGGUUAGCUAAUACCGCAUACGUCUCCGAGGGGCAUCCCUUGGCGAUAAAAGGAGCAAUCCGCUCGAUGACGGGACCGCGUCCCAUUAGCUAGAUGGUGGGGUAACGGCCUACCAUGGCACCGAUGGGUAGGCUGGUUUGAGAGAGCGACCAGCCACACUGGGACUGAGACACGGCCCAGACUCCUACGGGAGGCAGCAGUGGGGAAUAUUGCGCAAUGGGCGAAAGACCUGACGCAGCGACGCCGCGUGUGGGAU